GAGUUUGAUCAUGGCUCAGAGCGAACGCUGGCGGCAUGCUUAACACAUGCAAGUCGCACGGUCAGCAAUGGCAGUGGCGGACGGGUGAGUAACACGUAGGAAUCUAUCUCUGGGUGGGGGACAACAGUGGGAAACUACUGCUAAUACCGCAUGAUACCUGAGGGUCAAAGGCGUAAGUCGCCUGGAGAGGAGCCUGCGUCUGAUUAGCUUGUUGGUGGGGUAAAGGCCUACCAAGGCUACGAUCAGUAGCUGGUCUGAGAGGAUGAUCAGCCACAUUGGGACUGAGACACGGCCCAAACUCCUACGGGAGGCAGCAGUGGGGAAUAUUGGACAAUGGGCGAAAGCCUGAUCCAGCAAUGCCGCGUGUGUGAAGAAGGUCUUCGGAUUAUAAAGCACUUUUGGCAGGGACGAUGAUGACGGUACCCGCAGAAUAAGCCCCGGCUAACUUCGUGCCAGCAGCCG
This 462-nucleotide ribosomal RNA is filed under the name bacterium enrichment culture clone ALO1_GLFRUDD03G1MII. RNAcentral describes it as "bacterial SSU rRNA". It matches the Rfam family "Bacterial small subunit ribosomal RNA", at positions 9 to 517 of the family's 1533-position model. The record is from RNAcentral.